UAAUAAACACUUGAGUGAAAAUAAAUAAUUCCCCUUUUUGCUGGGGACCCCCUGGAACCCCUUUAAGGACCCCUGAUGGUCCUCAGAUCCCAGUUUGAGAAUCACUGCUCUAGAGUAUGGUG
This is a long non-coding RNA of Etheostoma spectabile (orangethroat darter), 122 nucleotides long. RefSeq lists it as uncharacterized. Lineage: Eukaryota; Metazoa; Chordata; Actinopteri; Perciformes; Percidae. The record is from RefSeq and is a predicted model, not a curated record. The transcript has 3 exons.